Oreochromis aureus is the source of this 1007-nucleotide long non-coding RNA. RefSeq lists it as uncharacterized. The record is from RefSeq and is a predicted model, not a curated record. Lineage: Eukaryota; Metazoa; Chordata; Actinopteri; Cichliformes; Cichlidae. The transcript has 4 exons.
CACACUCUUCACAGACACCAACCUGAAUUACACAGCCGCUUGGCCAAGGAGCUGAGUCAGAUUACCGCAGUCUGUUUAAUAUACAACAUCUAAAGGCUAAAGGAGCUAGAACCUCAUGCAGGCCGUUCAAAUGACAGACACACUGAGUCUGCAUCCGUCAUCUCUCGUGGUCAUCAGGACGACGGCAGCAGCUUGAGACAGAUACAGAACACUCGACUGUCUGCAGGUCCCAAUUCCCAGGAGAAGAGUGGGAGUUUGGUGUUAUGUGGAUCGAGUGAUAGUCAGCCUAACGGUACAAUCUUCAGGUACAAAAAGUGAAGACAGAUCAUUUUAUUUUCUUGGCCAGUCCUGCAGGGUUGCGGGGAAGGCUAGAGUCCAUCACAAGAAGGGCAAGACGAUGGGUAUUUCCUGGACCCUGCCUCCAGGCUGACACAGAGACAGACAACUAUUCAUGCUACCAUUCAUUUAACACGUACAAACAAUUUAGAAUCACCAGUUAAAUUACAUGCAUGGGUUUAGGUUAACUGUGGGUUAGCUUAGCUUUUUGACCAUGUUUGCUGGGUUUCCAACAGGGAUGUCCAGAUGAUGUUGAUAAGAUAACAGACAAGAGAUGGCAAAAUUUUGUCUUCAACUUUCAUUCUGGAACCACAUAUCAACCAAGACUAACAGUCGAGGCGAGACAGCCAACCGGUGGUUUCUGAAUCUGAAAAUACUUGCUGGAAAGUGAUCUUCAGAGGAAAAAGGAACAAAUAACAAACACUCUCACUGUAUAGCUUCGUUUGGGGGGGUGUUCUUACUCUUCUCUCAAACAACAAUGUUUUGUUUGUUUCAUUUUGUCCUAGUCCAGAACAAAAUGAAUAUACAAUUGUUUACCACAAACUUUCCUGUCAUAGAAAGUCUAACAAGGAUGUUAAGGCAUCACUGAAGUGGUACAUUUGACAGACACAAUCUUAUGCCUCUGUUGUCGGCUCAACUUUUAUUCUGGAGCUAUUUUUAACCAAGACCAA